Molecule: ribosomal RNA, 893 nt
Filed under: Colletotrichum kahawae
Lineage: Eukaryota; Fungi; Ascomycota; Sordariomycetes; Glomerellales; Glomerellaceae
Description: LSU rRNA
Rfam family: Eukaryotic large subunit ribosomal RNA
Source: RNAcentral
CUAGCAUAUCAAUAAGCGGAGGAAAAGAAACCAACAGGGAUUGCCUCAGUAACGGCGAGUGAAGCGGCAACAGCUCAAAUUUGAAAUCUGGCCCUAGGCCCGAGUUGUAAUUUGCAGAGGAUGCUUUUGGUGCGGUGCCUUCCAAGUUCCCUAGAACGGGACGCCAGAGAGGGUGAGAGCCCCGUACAGUUGGACACCAAGCCUUUGUAAAGCUCCUUCGACGAGUCGAGUAGUUUGGGAAUGCUGCUCAAAAUGGGAGGUAUAUUUCUUCUAAAGCUAAAUACCGGCCAGAGACCGAUAGCGCACAAGUAGAGUGAUCGAAAGAUGAAAAGCACUUUGAAAAGAGGGUUAAACAGCACGUGAAAUUGUUAAAAGGGAAGCGCUUGUGACCAGACUUGCGUCCGGUGAAUCACCCAGCUCUCGCGGCUGGGGCACUUCGCCGGCUCAGGCCAGCAUCAGCUCGCUGUCGGGGACAAAAGCUUCGGGAACGUAGCUCUCUUCGGGGAGUGUUAUAGCCUGUUGCAUAAUACCCUUCGGCGGGCUGAGGUACGCGCUCCGCAAGGAUGCUGGCAUAAUGGUCAUCAGCGACCCGUCUUGAAACACGGACCAAGGAGUCAACCUUAUGUGCGAGUGUUCGGGUGUCAAACCCCUACGCGUAAUGAAAGUGAACGCAGGUGAGAGCUUCGGCGCAUCAUCGACCGAUCCUGAUGUUCUCGGAUGGAUUUGAGUAAGAGCAUAUAGGGUUGGACCCGAAAGAAGGUGAACUAUGCGUGUAUAGGGUGAAGCCAGAGGAAACUCUGGUGGAGGCUCGCAGCGGUUCUGACGUGCAAAUCGAUCGUCAAAUAUGCGCAUGGGGGCGAAAGACUAAUCGAACCUUCUAGUAGCUGGUUCCC